Molecule: ribosomal RNA, 492 nt
Filed under: uncultured bacterium
Lineage: Bacteria
Description: partial 16S ribosomal RNA
Rfam family: Bacterial small subunit ribosomal RNA
Source: RNAcentral
GAUGAACGCUAGCUACAGGCUUAACACAUGCAAGUCGAGGGGAAACGACAUCGAAAGCUUGCUUUUGAUGGGCGUCGACCGGCGCACGGGUGAGUAACGCGUAUCCAACCUGCCCACCACUUGGGGAUAACCUUGCGAAAGUAAGACUAAUACCCAAUGACGUCUCUAGAAGACAUCUGAAAGAGAUUAAAGAUUUAUCGGUGAUGGAUGGGGAUGCGUCUGAUUAGCUUGUUGGCGGGGUAACGGCCCACCAAGGCGACGAUCAGUAGGGGUUCUGAGAGGAAGGUCCCCCACAUUGGAACUGAGACACGGUCCAAACUCCUACGGGAGGCAGCAGUGAGGAAUAUUGGUCAAUGGACGAGAGUCUGAACCAGCCAAGUAGCGUGCAGGAUGACGGCCCUAUGGGUUGUAAACUGCUUUUAUAAGGGAAUAAAGUGAGUCUCGAGAGACUUUUUGCAUGUACCUUAUGAAUAAGGACCGGCUAAUUCCGUG